Molecule: non-coding RNA, 46 nt
Organism: Stegodyphus mimosarum
Lineage: Eukaryota; Metazoa; Arthropoda; Arachnida; Araneae; Eresidae
Source: Rfam
AAAACAGCUCUUUUCAGAGCCACACACUGCCUGCAAUGAGUCUCGU